Molecule: ribosomal RNA, 484 nt
Filed under: uncultured bacterium
Lineage: Bacteria
Description: partial 16S ribosomal RNA
Rfam family: Bacterial small subunit ribosomal RNA
Source: RNAcentral
AUUGAACGCUGGCGGCAUGCUUUACACAUGCAAGUCGAACGGCAGCGCGGGCUUCGGCCUGGCGGCGAGUGGCGAACGGGUGAGUAAUGCAUCGGAACGUGCCCAGUAGUGGGGGAGAGCCCGGCGAAAGCCGGAGUAAUACCGCAUACGACCUGAGGGUGAAAGCGGGGGAGCGAAAGGCCGCGCGCUAUUGGAGCGGCCGAUGUCGGAUUAGCUAGUUGGUGGGGUAAAGGCUUACCAAGGCGACGAUCCGUAGCUGGUCUGAGAGGACGACCAGCCACACUGGAACUGGGACACGGCCCAGACUCCUACGGGAGGCAGCAGUGGGGAAUUUUGGACAAUGGGGGCAACCCUGAUCCAGCCAUGCCGCGCGCGGGAAGAAGGCCUUCGGGUUGUAAACCGCUUUUGUUCGGGAAGAAAUCCUCUGGGCUAAUACCCCGGGGGGAUGACGGUACCGGAAGAAUAAGCACCGGCUAACUACGUG